CACGACCGUCGGACUACACCAGAAGUUCCAGGCAUUCCAGAGUUCGAGAGUUAUACUUUCUGCUGAAAAGAGGUGGGUGCUGAAGCAGAUAUUAUAAAAAAUGUUUAUUUUUGCAAGCUUUGGUCCUCCCACCGUCGUGCAUCAUGAUGCGUGACGGUGAAAUGCAUUUACAGCAAAUGUUAAACUCGAGUUCGCAUGUAGCCUGGUUGCUACUACGAGGGCUAGCUUGUGGCUAAUUUAGCCUGCGUGGGCCCAACAUAAUCAAAUAGUCCAUGCUAACGUGUGUUGUCGUGAAAGUAAAUAAGGGCCUGCUCUCUCUGUUGGAGCCAAGAUUAAAAGCUGCUAGUUAGGCUAUCCAUUAGGGGUGGAACGGUUCACAAAAUCCACGGUUCGGUUCGUAUCACGGUUUUGUGGUCACGGUUUUCGGUUCGGUUCAGUAUACAUUGACUGUUACAAAAAUCAAUUGCGUCUUGUAUAGUAAACUGAAAGAAUGAGGCAGUCUGACAUUCAAUACAUCAUUGUGACAGUCUUAGGUUAAAAGGUAGGUCAGAUUCUGGCAGUGCAAGAGAGGAGACAUAGUUCCAACAUGCUUUACAUUUAUUUGGCAAAGGAUAUCUCUAUCUAUCUAAACAAAAAGUAAAAUGGCUCUUAUAGCUCUGACCCUUGAAUUAGUGCAUACAAAAGAAUUUAACUUUACUAUUUUACAAACAACAUUAUAUAUAUAUUAAUGAAAUAAAUAAUCCAAAUUAAGAGGUCAUCAAUAUAAAAUGCAGCAUAAACCAAAUUUAACAGAUCCUGUGCUCUCCUGCACUCUCUCACACAACUCUGCUCAUUGUAUUAUCAUGUUCUUCUGCAAGAAGAUCAGUUUGUCCACAUUCUCUGCCAAGAGACGAGAUCUACUUGCAGUGACAAUGUCCCCUCAUCUCCCACUCUGAGGUAAUGUAAUGGACAGUCACAGUCAGGAAACUUUCAGUUGCCCUGGAGGUCCAUCCAUCGGUAGUAAGAGCAACAUAGGCUGUGUCAGACAGUUCUUUCACAAUUCCCCGUCGGAUCUUUUCAUAAAGUGCGGGAAUUACCGUGCCGCUGAAGUGUUUGCGAGAGGGGCUCUUAUAUCGUGGCUCGAGCGCCUUUAUCAUGCACUGAAGUCCCGCACCCUCAACCACGGCGUAAGGUUGCAUAUCUUUGGCGAUGAAACACCCCAGUGCCUUUGUUAUGCCCUUCGCCCUGUCCGACUUGUCAUUGUACGGCUGUUUAAAAGCUGCGGGGAGAAGUUGUGCAGCCUUGCCCCUCCUUGCGCUGUCAACAGCCACACUGGGAUGACGUCUCCGUAAAUGAACUGACAUGUUAGAUGUGUUCCCGUUAGCAUAAGCAAUGCGUGUUGCUAGUGCUGGACGAUAAUUCGAUAACAAUAUAUAUCGAUCGAUAGACGUGUGGUGCGAUAGAAAAAAAACGGGUCGAUAAAAAGUUCGAUAGAAAAACACAGUUUCCCUUUCUUUUUCAUCAUAGCCUAUCAUGUAGCUUUUUACUACAGUCAUUACUUCCUCCCAACCAAUCACAAACGCAGACCCAGGUACGCUACGGCACCAAGCCCAGCCCCUAUCAAACCACAACAGACAGCACGUGUAUUAGAAAAAAUGAGACAGCAAGGAGAAGCGGAGGACAUUGUCCCGAAAAAAGGUUUCAGUAGUUCACCAGCAUGGCAGUGUUUUGGUUUUUAGAAGUCUGACAAAAAGCGAACAGCGGUCGUUUGCAAAAUUUGCAGAAAAUUAGUAAAAACGAAGUCUGGUAACACAACCAACUUGUUUUACCAUCUAAACCGAUCGCACCCGCUGGAGUACGAGCUGUGUCGGCCGCGCCGCGGCUCCACGUCAUCGUCGGAGGAAUCCUCUGGAACCGCUGCCAGCACCAGCACAAAGCAUGUGAAGCAGACCAAACUGGACUUCGUUUCUUAACAAAAAUACGACAAAGCGUCCGAGCGGCAUAAGGACAUCACCCAUGCAGUAACAUGCUGCAUAGCGAGGGACAUACUGCCAAUAACUACCGUUGAAAAGCCUGGCUUCGACCAGCUUCUAGCCACUCUCGACCCGCGAUAUGAAGUGCCCGGCCGCAAGUAUUUCUCAAACACAGCGCUUCAGGCAUGAAAAUGGGUCAGGGGUUGAAAAGGUGAGAAGGGUGCGGAGGAAAUACGUUCCGGUGUAGCUUCUUAAAGUGGAAGAAAAUGAGCUCAUAUUUUACAAAGACGCGAGUAUUUGGAUCAUGGCUACUAGCAGGGGGUGCAUUCGGCAGGGGUGCAUUCUACGACACAACACCGGCGUGGAUAAGUCCUGCUUCUCGUGCUUAGUUUGUGUCAAUCACAUGAUAAUUAAAAAAAAUAAAUCUCCCGACCCCGGGAGAAAUAUUUCAGUGUUCAGACACCAGGCUGUGGGCAGUUUCCCACACAGGUAAAACUGGUAGUAUGCUAUUCCCACCUAAAGCUAUUCUGUUUAUUUAUAUACUUAUUUUCAUCAAAAGACUAUUUAAAUAUUUAUUUAUCAGAUUUUCUGGUCACUUUAGUCUUUAUGUUUGUCAGUAUUUACUGACGUCACUCAGGCCACUUAAGUUGAUUUCUUUUUUUUUUUAAGUUCUUUUUUAAAAAACUUUCAGUUGUGGUAAAAUAAAAAAGGUGGUUGAAUAAAGGUUUGAAUUUGAAUUCAGUGCUUGUGUGUUCUUUAUUAAAAAUAGGUCAUUAAGCAAUAGCAUAAAACAUCCAGGGCUGCAAUUAAAAUAUAUGUUAAAUAAUUAUAACAAUUAUAUCGAUAAUUAUCGAUAUCGAUCAAUAUGAUUUAUUUUUUAUCGAUAUGCUUUUUUUCUAUAUCGUCCAGGCCUACGUGUUGCACAGUACUUGCACACCGUCGCACUUUUAUCCACAACUUUCUUACCGCCUUCAUAGUUCACCCUGAACGCAAAAUGCUCCCAUACACCAGACCUAUAUAAAGCUGGUGGCGCAUCCUCGAGCCCCGAGUCUUCUCCGCUCGCCAUGUUCACAGCUCCUCUACAACUAAUUUCCGGGACACACCUGUAGUUGCGCAUGUGUAUGACCCGAACGGGAUGCAAGCGAACCGGACCGGGACGGUCAAACCGAACGGUUCAGUUCGGUUUCUUAAACCGUUCCAUCCCUACUAUCCAUUAGAAAAUGAAGUCUAUUUUGGUGCCAGUACUGUUGUUUUUGUUUAUCCAGUGUUAUUUUUUUAUAUAGUUAAAUUUGUGUUUAACUGUAAUUGUCAUAAAUGUUUUUUUCACUAUGUGUGGUAGAAAUGGGACCCAUUAGUUGAAUUUUUCCAAUAUUAUUUGGUUAGUGCAUUAGCAGUGCUAUAGGAAAUGCUAAUAGUAAAAAUCUAAAAGUACUGGUAUUGACAUAUUUUUUUUAUCAAGAGCAAAAGGUAUUCAUUAUGCAGUAUGACCUGCUUCACAAGUUGCCAAUUGUACUAAAAAAACAAACAAAACAAUUUUAUAAUGGUUGAUCUACAAGCUCACACUGUUAUUAACAUUAUUAUUUUUCUUUCUUUUUUCCAUGUGUUUUCUCUCCAGCAAUAUUGAAUAUGGCCUCUAAUUGUUUGAAAGAGCGGCGGAGAAAAAGAGCUAGGGAGGAUGAUUUCUUAUAUGAAUUUAGCAGUGAUGAGGAUGUGUCACAGGAGGACACACAAGAGGAGGGUCUGGCAAGUCAAUCUGGCCAGUUAACAGACAACACUUCAGGAAGUACUUCUUUCAAUACAACCUUGAAGGAAGAGCCUGAUAAUCAAGAGGACUACGGUCAUAGUGAACAUCCAGACGCAAGUGAUAAAGAAACCGAGCUUGUUGACUUGGAAUCCCAAAUCAAAGAUGAACCGUCAAGCCUAAGAGAGGAUGUGGCAGCUUGGGCUGUAGAAACAAAGCAGACUCACAGUAGUGUUAAUAAGAUGUUGGCGAUCCUCCGCAAACAUGGCCACAAUUUGCCCGAAGAUGUCAGCACACUAUUGCAGACUCCGUGUGUUGUGGACAGUAAAAAAGGUAAGAGUGUCAUAACUAAAGUACAAAAUGUUAUGUAAUGUAUUUUAAUUAUUGAAAUGAAUGUUACUAAAUCAUAUCUUUUCACUAAGACUUCCAGCGGAUGGUCGUGGAAACACUUUUGGAAAUCCGCCAUGAAUUGAAAUCGCUCAACCAGCAGGGGGACAUUGAAGAUGAGGGUGAGCGGAUACGUCAGUUGCCGUUAAGGACUUUGGAGGAGGCUCAGCGCAUGUCGUUGGAAAUCGAUUGGCACCCCAACAUAAAACGUUCACUGGUAAGUCAAAUAGAGAUGCUAAAAAUUAUACAAAUCUAUACAUUAGACACUCUUGAUAAUUUGAUUAUAUCAUACAGAUAAAACAACUGUCACGCCUUGGAGGGAAGGACAUUAAGACCUGCACACGCAGGAUCCUGGACAGGUAUGAAUAUGAAUACUUGAAAAUGAAUGCAAGACAAUAUUAUGGUCAAUGUCAUUAAUAUAAUCAUGUAUUGUUGGUGUUUAUCAAGUCUUUCUAGUGAAUUGCAAGAGUACGCAGUAUAAAGGUGCAUUCACACAGGCACUUGCGCAACGGCGGCAAGGGUUUCUCUGACGUUUUAGGGACUUGUUCAGCAAGUAAAGAGCAGCACUAGACACGGUAUCCGACAAGAUCGAGGGAAAACCUAGAGUGGGCAUGACGUAAUGCGCAACGCAAAUGACGGUGGCAAAGUGACACAUUUAAGGACACGCGACGCAAUGGCCCCUCGAGACGUGACAAGUUGAGUCGCCUGUCCGAUGUGAACGCACCUUAAGAGAUUUAUUUGUCUUUGAUAUCCAUUUCAGAAUUUUACACAAUGACGUGCAGAGGAAGUACAACCUCCUGGGUGGAGGACGCCAGGGGAAAAAAAGCUUAAAGGAAACUGCUUUCUUCACAGUUGUUCUUGGUAAAUGAAUUAUAUCUCUGCAAGUUAUUACUUACUCUUGGUCAUGUUACUGUUUUAAAGCCUGAAGCUGUAAAAAAGUGAAGAAUCCUUCCAGACAAUACUAGAUAAUUUCUACACUAACUAUGAUUCACGUUUCUUUUGUUUUUUUUUCUUUUCGCAGAGUCUGUUCGCACUAACUUCCCGACAGCAACAGAGGAACUGGUCGCAGCAUCGAUUGGGGACCAUUUGAAACAGGCACCAGCUCGAUGUGGUGGGAGGGGCACCACCAGAACACCACCCUGCUAAUUUUAAAAAAUAUAUAUAUCAGCGGAUUUAGACCAGAUGUCUAAUAAACGUUUAAUCAACGUCUAUGUCUAUACCUGGGUUUAUAAUUGGUAGAAGCAUGAACGUCUAACAUAAAGACGUUUAAAUGAAAACGUCUAUUUGAUGUCAUUUCAACAUUAUAGACGGAACAAUUUAUGAACAAACAUGUUUAAACGUAUAAAUCAAAACGUUUAAACAACAUUUAAAUUUCGACGCUGAAAAAACGUUCAUUUCUAUACCUCUGUUAUACCAAAUUUAGACUAGACGUAUAUUACACGUAUAAUCAACCUCAAAAUGCUCGCUGGGUCCGUUCAUUCAGAACGCCGUUAAUUCUGCAGUUGACUCUGCAAAGUCAGCAGAAAUUGUUUAUAUCCACAGAAGACGGCGGAUAUAAACGAUUUGUUGCCCUGUUGUCCGGGUAACAGUGGAAACACGGUCUCUGAUUGGCCCGGUUAUUUUCUGAUCGGGAAUACACGCUCUCUAUGGUCCGAAGUCC
This 5740-nucleotide long non-coding RNA is filed under the name Xyrichtys novacula (pearly razorfish). Lineage: Eukaryota; Metazoa; Chordata; Actinopteri; Labriformes; Labridae. The record is from RNAcentral.